Cavia porcellus (domestic guinea pig) is the source of this 1585-nucleotide long non-coding RNA. RefSeq lists it as uncharacterized. The record is from RefSeq and is a predicted model, not a curated record. NCBI's taxonomy places the organism in Eukaryota, Metazoa, Chordata, Mammalia, Rodentia, Caviidae. The transcript is spliced from 10 exons.
UGUGACAUCUGGUUCCCUUGGUUGAUUUCACCACACUGACAGCCCCUGUGAUCAAACAACAAGAGCACAGCAGGCAAACUCACCUCAUCAUAGAUGCUGUCGUUUUUGUGAAAGUCUCCAGCCUUUCGGGGAAGAAUGUGGACAUGAACGUGCUGAAAAUGAGGAAGAUGAUGUUCACUUUCAGGAAUUAUAUAUGAAAUCUGCUGAGAAGAGAAGCACAAAACAAGAGGCAACAACUUGGCAGCACACCCACCAUCAACUGUAGCCCCACCAUGCCACUCUACCUUGGAACCAACUGAGUGUGGACUGAAGCCUCCAAACACUAAUGCAAACUGAAAUGAGAGCGCGAAUCAAGACUCUCUGAUUCUUAACCACAUCCUAGUACCUGGUUACAGCAUCUUGGACACAGAGCCCUUGCUGAGCACUGAAUGGGAUGAGGAAGGUGCAUUUCCAGCCAGCCUUCUGGCCACCUGCUGAAAUUAUGCCACUACCAGUCUCCAUGUCAUACAGAUUUUACACUCUCAUACCAGAAAAGCGACCCUUGAAGACAAGUGGAGGGAACACACUAGGAAUUUUGCCAGUGAGAAGACCUGUCCAAAGAAUCCCCAGGAUAAACACUGCCUACCUACAGGAAGGCUUUGCUGGAAAACACAUCCCUGUUUGCUGAAGCCACAGGGAGUUUGUUGUUGUUGCCCAGAAAGGAAUUGCUCCUUUAUCUACCAGUUCUUUCAAGCAAAUAUUUAAUAAGCACAUCUGACAUGCCAGACUUCUGGUGAAUGACAAAAUGAACUGAGGUGAGUUCUGCUUAGUCUACAGAGCAGCACUGGCCGUAUGUCACUACUGAUCAUCUAGAUCAUGGCUGGUUCAGACUGGGAUGAACCGGAAGCAUGAAAUACAAACCAGAUUUCAAAGACUUAGUACCAGAAAAACAGAAUGUGAAUGAAUUCUUUUAACUUCUUUACAUUAUAGGUUAAUAUAAUACUAUUCUGGAUACAAUGUGUUAAAACAGUGACUCACCAAAAAGGAUUUUACUUGUAUUUUAUUUUUUAUGUUGAACCAGAAAAAAACAAAAUGGCACAUGUUGUUAGUAGAGUACUUCUGUUGGACAGCACAAUUACACAAGCACUGAUCUUAUCCUUCGGCUGUGAAGUAUUUCCCCACAUAAUGCAUCUCUGUGUUUGUUCUCUCCUUUCCAUGGAUGACUCUUUUUCCACAGUUGGCAUUGUGACUACGGUUCACCCUUCCAAAUGCAUUUUAUAUGGCAGAUUCAAAGAAUGUUUUAUUAAUGAAAUCUCUUUGCAACCUACAGAUGCAGUGCUUUGCCCUCCAGAAGAGAUGCUGAUCCAUCACCUCCUUUGGUCCCCACACUAAUUUCCCCUAUGUCCAGUUCCUGAUCAUGCACUUUUCUUGAUUGUAUUAUGUUAUUAAGUACCUGAGAAUGUAGACAAGUUGUGAUCACUUAGAGAUUCAUGAAAGAAAAUCCCAACUCUUAUCACCCUGGGUUGAAAUUAGGUCUUCUUUCCUAUUGGGGGAAAUGUGUGCAGGUGUGAGCAAUUAAAAAAUUAAACAUUAAUUAACAACCCAA